RNAcentral lists this ribosomal RNA (359 nucleotides) under uncultured bacterium. Its description in RNAcentral is "bacterial SSU rRNA". It matches the Rfam family "Bacterial small subunit ribosomal RNA", at positions 29 to 414 of the family's 1533-position model. The record is from RNAcentral.
AACGAACGCUGGCGGCAGGCCUCAAACAUGCAAGUCUAGGGGGUGCAGCAAUGCAUCACCGGCGGACGGGUGCGUAACGCGUGGGAAUAUACCUUUUGGUUCGGAACAACUGCGGGAAACUGCAGCUAAUACCGAAUGUGCCCUAACGGGGAAGAUUUAUCGCCAAAGGAUCAGCCCGCGUAGGAUUAGCUAGUUGGUGAGGUAAUGGCUCACCAAGGCUCCGAUCCUUAGCUGUUCUGAGAGGAAGAUCAGCCACACUGGGACUGAGACACGGCCCAGACUCCUACGGGAGGCAGCAGUUGGGAAUCUUGGACAAUGGGGGAAACCCUGAUCCAGCCAUGCCGCGUGAGUGAUGAAGG